Molecule: ribosomal RNA, 1028 nt
Filed under: Escherichia coli
Lineage: Bacteria; Pseudomonadati; Pseudomonadota; Gammaproteobacteria; Enterobacterales; Enterobacteriaceae
Description: partial 23S ribosomal RNA
Rfam family: Bacterial large subunit ribosomal RNA
Source: RNAcentral
CCGGUAAACGGCGGCCGUAACUAUAACGGUCCUAAGGUAGCGAAAUUCCUUGUCGGGUAAGUUCCGACCUGCACGAAUGGCGUAAUGAUGGCCAGGCUGUCUCCACCCGAGACUCAGUGAAAUUGAACUCGCUGUGAAGAUGCAGUGUACCCGCGGCAAGACGGAAAGACCCCGUGAACCUUUACUAUAGCUUGACACUGAACAUUGAGCCUUGAUGUGUAGGAUAGGUGGGAGGCUUUGAAGUGUGGACGCCAGUCUGCAUGGAGCCGACCUUGAAAUACCACCCUUUAAUGUUUGAUGUUCUAACGUUGGCCCGUUAUCCGGGUUGCGGACAGUGUCUGGUGGGUAGUUUGACUGGGGCGGUCUCCUCCUAAAGAGUAACGGAGGAGCACGAAGGUUGGCUAAUCCUGGUCGGACAUCAGGAGGUUAGUGCAAUGGCAUAAGCCAGCUUGACUGCGAGCGUGACGGCGCGAGCAGGUGCGAAAGCAGGUCAUAGUGAUCCGGUGGUUCUGAAUGGAAGGGCCAUCGCUCAACGGAUAAAAGGUACUCCGGGGAUAACAGGCUGAUACCGCCCAAGAGUUCAUAUCGACGGCGGUGUUUGGCACCUCGAUGUCGGCUCAUCACAUCCUGGGGCUGAAGUAGGUCCCAAGGGUAUGGCUGUUCGCCAUUUAAAGUGGUACGCGAGCUGGGUUUAGAACGUCGUGAGACAGUUCGGUCCCUAUCUGCCGUGGGCGCUGGAGAACUGAGGGGGGCUGCUCCUAGUACGAGAGGACCGGAGUGGACGCAUCACUGGUGUUCGGGUUGUCAUGCCAAUGGCACUGCCCGGUAGCUAAAUGCGGAAGAGAUAAGUGCUGAAAGCAUCUAAGCACGAAACUUGCCCCGAGAUGAGUUCUCCCUGACUCCCUGAGAGUCCUGAAGGAACGUUGAAGACGACGACGUUGAUAGGCCGGGUGUGUAAGCGCAGCGAUGCGUUGAGCUAACCGGUACUAAUGAACCGUGAGGCUUAACCUUACAACGCCGAAGCUGUU